This 651-nucleotide long non-coding RNA is filed under the name Homo sapiens (human). RNAcentral describes it as "HSALNT0296771". Lineage: Eukaryota; Metazoa; Chordata; Mammalia; Primates; Hominidae. The record is from RNAcentral.
UGACCUCAGACAGAUUAUGCUCAUUACCUUCUCUCUGAGUUUAUUUCAUCCUGUAUAAAAUGGCAAGAAUGACAAUUUCAACGGCUGCAUAGAAUGACAGAGGGACUUCACAGGAUCAGCUUUUUCUGCAUCUUCAGCUAACGGUGGCAGAUGGCAACCCAGCUCCCAGUUACAUAUCUUCAAUUCUGGGGCCAACUGAGCUCUCACCAAAUUCCAGUUCCAAAUCCCCAGGGAAAGGAAUCCAACUGGCCCCUGCCAAGUGCAGGGUUCUGACCACCAUGCUGAGGAUGAAGAUGAAGACAGCAUAAGCUCUGCCUCUAGAAACUGACAAUCUGCAUGGAGAGGAAAGACAUAUGCAGCUCUUCGGAAAAGGCCCUAAGAAGCCAUCAAAGAUAUGUCAUGGAGGAAGCCAUCGAAGAGGAAAGAGGAAGCUUUGUAACAGUUUACCUGGGAGGAAUAACAAGCUGCCAUAUGAAUACUGAUGAGAAAGGAGGUGGGAGAGACAUUUGAUCAUCAAUCAAGUUAUGAUUAUGAACACUCAGUUAAGAAAGAAAUGUGAAGUCAGUGUUCCUGAACAUGAAGAACAAGACCAGGGGUUGGGUUUUGGAGUCACACGGACUUUUUUUGUUCCAGCUCAUUUGUCUUUUUACC